Molecule: ribosomal RNA, 460 nt
Filed under: uncultured bacterium
Lineage: Bacteria
Description: partial 16S ribosomal RNA
Rfam family: Bacterial small subunit ribosomal RNA
Source: RNAcentral
CCUACGGGUGGCAGCAGUGAGGAAUAUUGGUCAAUGGACGAGAGUCUGAACCAGUCAAGUAGCGUGAAGGAUGACUGCCCUAUGGGUUGUAAACUUCUUUUAUAUGGGAAUAAAAUGUUCCACGUGUGGGAUUUUGUAUGUACCAUAUGAAUAAGGAUCGGCUAACUCCGUGCCAGCAGCCGCGGUAAUACGGAGGAUCCGAGCGUUAUCCGGAUUUAUUGGGUUUAAAGGGAGCGUAGGUGGAUUGUUAAGUCAGUUGUGAAAGUGUGCGGCUCAACCGUAAAAUUGCAGUUGAAACUGGCAGUCUUGAGUACAGUAGAGGUGGGCGGAAUUCGUGGUGUAGCGGUGAAAUGCUUAGAUAUCACGAAGAACUCCGAUUGCGAAGGCAGUUCACUGGACUGCAACUGACACUGAGGCUCGAAAGUGUGGGUAUCAAACAGGAUUAGAUACCCUUGUAGUC